GAAUUCGAUUCGGGUGUGACAAGGCCCGGGAACGUAUUCACCGCUGCUUGCUGAUCAGCGAUUACUAGCGAUUCCAGCUUCAUGCAGUCGAGUUGCAGACUGCAAUCCGAACUGAGAACGGUUUUUUGAGAUUGGCUCCCCCUCGCGGGUUUGCGACUCAUUGUGCCGUCCAUUGUAGUACGUGUGUAGCCCUGGACAUAAAGGCCAUGAGGACUUGACGUCAUCCCCACCUUCCUCCGGUUUUUCACCGGCAGUCCCUUUAGAGUGCUCAGCAUAAUCUGGUGGCAACUAAAGGCAGGGGUUGCGCUCGUUGCGGGACUUAACCCAACAUCUCACGACACGAGCUGACGUCAGCCAUGCAGCACCUCGACUAAUGUCCCUUGCGGGAAAAGCGACUUUCGCCACCUGUCACUAGCCGUUCGAGCCCAGGUAAGGUUCUUCGCGUUAAUCACUA
This 454-nucleotide ribosomal RNA is filed under the name uncultured soil bacterium. Its description in RNAcentral is "partial 16S ribosomal RNA". The record is from RNAcentral.